AGGGGUGGGCGCAUGAUCGCUCCGGCGCUGCCGGGGAGGAAAGUCCGAACACCACAGGGCACGGUGGUUCGUAACGCGAACGCUGGGCAACCAGGGGAAAGUGCCACAGAAAAGACACCGCCGAUGGGGCGCAAGCCCACAGGUAAGGGUGAAAUGGCGAGGUAAGAGCUCACCGCCUGCCUGGCGACAGGUAGGGCAAGGUAAACCCCACCGGGUGCAAGACCAAAUAGGGAGGCGUUUGAGGGCUGCCCGCCUGAUGCCUCCGGGUAGGUUGCACGAGAUGCCGGGCGACCGGUAUUCCCAGUUAAAUGAUCAUGCUCGGCAAGCGGUUUAUACCGUUUGCCGAGACAGAAUUCGGCUUACAGCCCACCCCUUUUU
Molecule: RNase P RNA, 378 nt
Filed under: bacterium
Lineage: Bacteria
Description: RNase P RNA component class A
Rfam family: Bacterial RNase P class A
About the family: Ribonuclease P (RNase P) is a ubiquitous endoribonuclease, found in archaea, bacteria and eukarya as well as chloroplasts and mitochondria. Its best characterised activity is the generation of mature 5'-ends of tRNAs by cleaving the 5'-leader elements of precursor-tRNAs. Cellular RNase Ps are ribonucleoproteins.
Source: RNAcentral